GAUGAAGAACGCAGCGAAAUGCGAUAAGUAAUGCGAAUUGCAGAAUUCAGUGAGUCAUCGAAUCUUUGAACGCACAUUGCGCCCUGUGGUAUUCCGCAGGGCAUGCCUGUUCGAGCGUCAUUUCAACCCUCAAGCCUCGCUUGGUGUUGGGCCCUGCCCGCCGCGGCCGGCCCUAAAGAUAGUGGCGGCGCCGCCUGGCCCUCAGCGUAGUACAGCUCUCGCUCCAGGGUCCGGCGGCAGCCUGCCAGGACCCCCCAACUCUGUGGUUGACCUCGGAUCAGGUAGGGAUACCCGCUGAACUUAAGCAUAUCAAUAAGCGGAGGA
Molecule: unclassified non-coding RNA, 324 nt
Filed under: soil metagenome
Description: partial contains 5.8S ribosomal RNA, internal transcribed spacer 2, and large subunit ribosomal RNA
Rfam family: 5.8S ribosomal RNA (bases 1-120)
Source: RNAcentral